GGGUCAGCAGGGUGGUCGUGCCACCGGUACGUACUGGUCUCACUGAUUCCUCCUUCCUGAAGAACCGUAAUGCCAUUAAUUUGGUGUUGCGGGGAAACAGGACUGGUACUUUGAAAAAAUUAGAGUGUUUAAAGCAAGCUAACGCUUGAAUACAUUAGCAUGGAAUAAUGAAAUAGGACGAUCGAUCCUAUUUUGUUGGUUUCUAGGAUUGACGUA
This 216-nucleotide ribosomal RNA is filed under the name Glomeromycotina sp. Its description in RNAcentral is "partial small subunit ribosomal RNA". The stretch from base 40 to 216 matches the Rfam family "Eukaryotic small subunit ribosomal RNA", at positions 686 to 864 of the family's 1831-position model. Lineage: Eukaryota; Fungi; Glomeromycota. The record is from RNAcentral.